UACGUAGGGUGCAAGCGUUGUCCGGAAUUACUGGGCGUAAAGCGCGUGUAGGUGGUGGGACAAGUCUGCUGUGAAAGCGCCUGGCUUAACCGGGCGAGGUCGGCGGAAACUGUUCGACUCGAGGACGGUAGAGGAGACUGGAAUUUACGGUGUAGCAGUGAAAUGCGUAGAGAUCGUAAGGAAGACCAGUGGCGAAGGCGGGUCUCUGGACAGUUCCUGACACUGAGGCACGAAGGCCAGGGGAGCAAACGGG
RNAcentral lists this ribosomal RNA (253 nucleotides) under uncultured bacterium. RNAcentral describes it as "partial 16S ribosomal RNA". It matches the Rfam family "Bacterial small subunit ribosomal RNA", at positions 524 to 776 of the family's 1533-position model. The record is from RNAcentral.